UACGUAGGCAGCGAGCGUUGUUCGGAGUUACUGGGCGUAAAGGGUGCGUAGGCGGUUGUUUAAGUUUGGUGUGAAAUCUCCCGGCUCAACUGGGAGGGUGCGCCGAAUACUGAAUGACUAGAGUGCGGGAGAGGAUAGUGGAAUUCCUGGUGUAGCGGUGAAAUGCGUAGAUAUCGGGAGGAACACCUGUGGCGAAAGCGGCUCACUGGACCAUAACUGACGCUGAUGCACGAAAGCUGGGGGAGCAAACAGG
This 253-nucleotide ribosomal RNA is filed under the name uncultured bacterium. RNAcentral describes it as "partial 16S ribosomal RNA". It matches the Rfam family "Bacterial small subunit ribosomal RNA", at positions 524 to 776 of the family's 1533-position model. The record is from RNAcentral.